GUUGAGGUCUAUUCCAAAGGGGCUUUUUCUAUAUAGAUCUACAUCGUUGGAAACACCUCAUAGAGUAACUAUGCGGUUUCCUUUAUUCACAAAACUAUAUAUUAGAUCUGUGGGAAAGACUACAAGACAGAG
Molecule: small nucleolar RNA, 132 nt
Organism: Camelus dromedarius (Arabian camel)
Lineage: Eukaryota; Metazoa; Chordata; Mammalia; Artiodactyla; Camelidae
Source: Ensembl